GACGAACGCUGGCGGCGUGCUUAAUACAUGCAAGUCGAACGGAAAGGCCCGGCUCUUGUGGCGUGCUCGAGUGCCGCACGCGUGUGUAUCACGCGAGUAACCUCUCCUUGACAUUGGGGUAACUCCUGGAAACUGGGGCUAAAAUCCGAUAUGAGCUCCUGCAGCACGGUGUUGGUGGGAAAAAUACGGCGUUUGGGGAUGGAAUGGCGGCUUAUCAGCUUGUUGGUGGGGUAGUGGCUUACCAAGGCUUCGACGGGUAGCCGGCCUGCGAGGGUGACCGGCCACAUUGGGACUAAGGUAGGGACCAGACGGCUACGGGGGGCAGCGGUGGAAAGUAUUGCGCACUGGGCGGAGGCCUGAUACAGGGACGUCGGGUGCUGGAUGACGGCUUUCGGGGUAUAAACCGCUUUCGACUGUAACGAACAGUGAGUGACGGUAAUGAGUCAGAAAGCACCGGCUAACUACGUG
This 468-nucleotide ribosomal RNA is filed under the name uncultured bacterium. RNAcentral's name for it is "partial 16S ribosomal RNA". It matches the Rfam family "Bacterial small subunit ribosomal RNA", at positions 28 to 507 of the family's 1533-position model. The record is from RNAcentral.